RNAcentral lists this unclassified non-coding RNA (410 nucleotides) under fungal sp. RNAcentral's name for it is "partial internal transcribed spacer region". The stretch from base 1 to 46 matches the Rfam family "Eukaryotic small subunit ribosomal RNA", at positions 1786 to 1831 of the family's 1831-position model. The record is from RNAcentral. Lineage: Eukaryota; Fungi.
AAGUCGUAACAAGGUUUCCGUAGGUGAACCUGCGGAAGGAUCAUUAACACGUUAUCCACGUAUCACCACCGAGAACCGUUAAUUUCUACCUCUGUGCAGAAUGAGCAGCAGCAAGAUAGAGUGAUUGGGAGGGUCUGCUUAACCGCGCCUGGCUCUAUUUGCUAUUCGUUCCGAAAGGCCUGCUUUUUGGCAGGUUUGUAGGCGCGUACUGUUGUAUCUGUCUCGUGGAGGCCCCGCUCUGCGCACAACUCUCCUCCCAUGAAGUGCGCGCAGAGUAACUUAUCUAACAAUUCUAACCCAUUUUUGCUAGUUGACUUUUAUAUGUUGUAGCGAAGCUUCGGCGACACUGCACACGUUUAAUUAUUUGAACGUUAAAAAUACAACUCUUAGCAAUGGAUAUCUAGGUUCUC